GAUCUAGCCAUGAGCAGGUUGAAGUCUAUGUAAGAGUAGAUGGAGGACCGAACGAAUGAAUGUUAAAAAAUUCUUCGAUGACUUGUGGCUAGGGGUGAAAAGCCAAACGAACCUGGAGAUAGCUGGUUCUCCCCGAAAUAGCUUUAGGGCUAGCGUUAGCAGAAGAAAUUUAUGAAGGUAGAGCACUGAAUGUGUGAGGGCCACACCUCGUGGUACUGAUCCCAAAUAAACUCCGAAUGUCAUAAAUGGAUAGCUAGCAGUCAGACACUGGGUGAUAAGGUCCAGAGUCGAGAGGGAAACAGCCCAGACCGCCAGAUAAGGUCCCGAAAUAGAUGCUAAGUGGCAAAGGAAGUGGGGGCGCACAAACAGCUAGGAGGUUGGCUUAGAAGCAGCCACCCUUUAAAGAGUGCGUAAUAGCUCACUAGUCGAGUGCACCUGCGCCGAAAAUGUACCGGGGCUAAGCAUCAUACCGAAGCUGCGGAUUUAGGAGUUAACUCUUAAGUGGUAGGGGAGCGUUCUAGAGUGAAGAAGUAUGACCGUAAGGACAUAUGGAGCUACUAGAAGUGAUAAUGCCGGUGUAAGUAACGAAAAGAGAGGUGAGAAUCCUCUCCGUCGAAAACCCAAGGAUUCUAGGGGAAGGUUCGUCCGCCCUAGGUAAGUCGGGCCCUAAGGUGAGUCCGGAAGGAGUAGCCGAUGGAUAUCAGGUAGAAAAUCCUGAACUAGUGUAUAGACAGAAGGAGUGACAGAGGAGGCUAGGCUUCGCCUUUAAAUGUCUUAAGGUCGAGAUAGCGAUGCAGGCGUGUAGGCAAAUCCGCAUGCCGAUAGGAGUAGCUAUGAUAGGUAAAGGAGUACGAUGUCAGACUCUCAAGAAAAGCUUCUAUGGUUAAUCUAUGCACUACCCGUACCGUAAACCGACACAGGUAGGAGGGUAGAAUAUAUUAAGACGCGCGAGAAAACUCUUGUUAAGGAACUCGGCAAAAUGACCCCGUAACUUCGGGAUAAGGGGGGCUCUUAAUGGAAAAGGAGAGCCGCAGAGAAAAGGCCCAAGCGACUGUUUAUCAAAAACACAGGUCUCUGCAAAAUCGAAAGAUGAAGUAUAGAGGCUGACGCCUGCCCGGUGCUGGAAGGUUAAGAGGAGAUGUUAGGCAACGAAGCAUUGAAUUGAAGCCCCAGUAAACGGCGGCCGUAACUAUAACGGUCCUAAGGUAGCGAAAUUCCUUGUCGGGUAAGUUCCGACCCGCACGAAAGGCGUAACGAUUUGGGCACUGUCUCAACAAGAGACUCGGUGAAAUCAAGCUGCCGGUGAGAACGCCGGCUACCCGCGACAGGACGAUAAGACCCCGUGGAGCUUUACUGUAACUUGAUAUUGGAAUUUGGCAUAUGAUGUAGAGGAUAGGUGGGAGACAAAGAAGCUAGGACGCUAGUCUUGGUGGAGUCGCCCUUGGAAUACCACCCUUUGUAUGCUAGGUUUCUAACCCGCAGAUGUGGAAUCUGGGGGACAGUGUCUGGUGGGCAGUUUGGCUGGGGCGGUCGCCUCCCAAAGAGUAACGGAGGCGCCCGAAGGUUCCCUCAAAAUGGUUGGAAAUCAUUUUAAAGAGUGUAAAGGCAUAAGGGAGCUUGACUGCGAGACCAACAAGUCGAGCAGGUACGAAAGUAGGGCUUAGUGAUCUCUCGGUACCGCAUGGAAGGGCCGAGACUCAACGGAUAAAAGUUACCCCGGGGAUAACAGGCUAAUAGCAUCCAAGCGUCCGCAGCGACGAUGCUGUUUGGCACCUCGAUGUCGGCUCGUCACAUCCUGGAGCUGGAGCAGGUUCCAAGGGUUGGGCUGUUCGCCCAUUAAAGUGGCACGCGAGCUGGGUUCAGAAC
RNAcentral lists this ribosomal RNA (1866 nucleotides) under biogas fermenter metagenome. Its description in RNAcentral is "bacterial LSU rRNA". It matches the Rfam family "Bacterial large subunit ribosomal RNA", at positions 727 to 2617 of the family's 2925-position model. The record is from RNAcentral.